Syngnathus typhle (broad-nosed pipefish) is the source of this 486-nucleotide long non-coding RNA. RefSeq lists it as uncharacterized. The record is from RefSeq and is a predicted model, not a curated record. The transcript is spliced from 3 exons. NCBI's taxonomy places the organism in Eukaryota, Metazoa, Chordata, Actinopteri, Syngnathiformes, Syngnathidae.
AGCAACAUUAGCCCGAGCCGGACGUGCAGUUUUACUCCAGAUGACGACCAGAGACACCGUCUGACUGGUUCAGACGCCAGCAGUACUGUUGCAGCUUAUCCAUUCAGUUGGGAGGAGCAAAAUGUCUAAGGAAAGGACUGAGGAAUGUCAUCGUGCAGUGCCAAAGUUUGUCGUUAAAGGCCUGCACCCAUUUGCCACCGUAGAAGCCCCUGGUUUUCGAAUGUGGGAGGAGGAAUGCAAAUCCCAGACAGGAAGGCUGAAGUUGGAAUCAAACCCUGCACCUAUAAACAGUUCGGCAGACUUGCCAACCAGUGCACCGCCCGGUGAGAAAAUCAGUUGCUAAUUUCAUGAUUCUUCUCAACUCUGCUUUUAGGUUGGAACAUGUGCACAUGACAUGACCGAAAUAUAGAUUUCUGCUCAUAUGUUUGUCUCGUAUUCCUCAUUUCAAAAUAAACAUUCUCUGUGGUCCUUGGCCCAAAGCCAGUA